UACAGAGGGUGCAAGCGUUAAUCGGAAUUACUGGGCGUAAAGGGCGCGUAGGUGGUUGACUAAGUCAGAUGUGAAAUCCCUGGGCUUAACCUAGGAAUUGCGUUUGAUACUGGUCGACUAGAGUGUGGGAGAGGGAAGUGGAAUUUCCAGUGUAGCGGUGAAAUGCGUAGAUAUUGGAAGGAACACCAGUGGCGAAGGCGACUUCCUGGACCACUACUGACACUGAGGCGCGAAAGCGUGGGGAGCGAACAGG
Molecule: ribosomal RNA, 253 nt
Filed under: uncultured bacterium
Lineage: Bacteria
Description: partial 16S ribosomal RNA
Rfam family: Bacterial small subunit ribosomal RNA
Source: RNAcentral